GUUAACGCAUUAAGCACUCCGCCUGGGGAGUACGGCCGCAAGGCUGAAACUCAAAAGAAUUGACGGGGGCCCGCACAAGCGGUGGAGCAUGUGGUUUAAUUCGAAGCAACGCGAAGAACCUUACCAGGUCUUGACAUCCGCUGACAAUCUUGGAGACAAGACGUUCCCUUCGGGGACAGCGUGACAGGUGGUGCAUGGUUGUCGUCAGCUCGUGUCGUGAGAUGUUGGGUUAAGUCCCGCAACGAGCGCAACCCUUGAUUCUAGUUGCCAGCAUUUAGUUGGGCACUCUAGAGUGACUGCCGGUGACAAACCGGAGGAAGGUGGGGAUGACGUCAAAUCAUCAUGCCCCUUAUGACCUGGGCUACACACGUGCUACAAUGGAUG
This 384-nucleotide ribosomal RNA is filed under the name Terribacillus saccharophilus. Its description in RNAcentral is "bacterial SSU rRNA". It matches the Rfam family "Bacterial small subunit ribosomal RNA", at positions 851 to 1236 of the family's 1533-position model. The record is from RNAcentral. Lineage: Bacteria; Bacillati; Bacillota; Bacilli; Caryophanales; Bacillaceae.